This is a long non-coding RNA of Rhodamnia argentea, 864 nucleotides long. RefSeq lists it as uncharacterized. The record is from RefSeq and is a predicted model, not a curated record. The transcript has 3 exons. Lineage: Eukaryota; Viridiplantae; Streptophyta; Magnoliopsida; Myrtales; Myrtaceae.
CAAAAGCGUGCCAGCUUAUGAAAAUGCUGUUAAUGACUCUUUUGAGCGAUGUAUGGAUCUCUACAUGUCAUAUAGGCCUUGGAAAAAAUGUCUUAACAUUGACCCCGAGUCUUUGACAUCCAUGUUAUCUAGCCGGAAGGAUCUUAAGCCUUGUCAAGUGACAUGUUAUCUUGAGUACAAAGGUUAUGAGGGUGCAGCUGUGUCAAUUUCUGCUGAAGCUUCAGGGCAGUGGAUUGCUUCAGGUGCAUGUGAUCUCACAUAUUCUUCUUUCUUUGAAUUUCAUGACUUUUAGACUCACCAAAUCUCAUUCUCGUCUUCUAUUGUGGCAAAUGAAGGUUCUGCUGAUGGAACUGUUCGCAUUUGGGAGGUUUGAAACUGGCAGAUGUUGUGGGGUGUGGACUAUAGGUGAACUGGUCCAGUGUGUAUCCUGGAAUCCAUUGCCGGAGCUUCCAAUUUUUGGCAAUUGCUGCGGGCCAAGAUAUCCUACUUCUUAACACAGGACUGGUAAUGUAAAAGACCAGGAGAAGAUUAAGGAACUUCUCCAGGUUGAAGUAUCUGGGACAGCAGGUGACUUUGGUUGGUUUGUUACCAUUUUUAUGCAACUCUGAAGUUCAGACAUGUUUGCUGACAUUUUGACUUGGUGAAGAUUGAGCUCAUCACGAUUUAACAAUUCAAUGAGGAGUCCUCAUUGGAUUGGGAUUCUUUUCCUCAUUGAGCAAGUAGUUUUAUCCCCUUGGUGUCCUAUAUUAAAUAUCUCUUUUCUUUUCAGAAUAAUUAGUAGUCUUAGUUUUAAAUUUUUGUGUGAAUUCAUUUUCUUUUUCCUAUUAUUAAUAAGGUCAUUCUGUUUUGUGUUUAGACAUUUAC